Molecule: long non-coding RNA, 715 nt
Organism: Hordeum vulgare subsp. vulgare (domesticated barley)
Lineage: Eukaryota; Viridiplantae; Streptophyta; Magnoliopsida; Poales; Poaceae
Exons: 2
Source: RefSeq, a predicted model, not a curated record
UGAAAGGAGAGAAGAGAAGGAAAUCCAAAACAAAACAAACCCCACCCCACCCAAUCCAACCAGGCCCGCAGCCGCUUGUGUCUUCUCCACCCAACUCCUCUCUCUAUCUUCCCGGAGCCAAAGCCAGCCGCCGCCGCCUUCCGCAACCUCGGCCUCCACAGCACCGCCGCGCUUGCGACCGCCCCUCCUUCUCCCCUUGGACGCGGAUCCGCUCGAGCUGCUCACCCCGUGGUCGGAUGCGCGCUCCCUCCCUCCCUCCCUCCUCGCGCAGUAAACCCUAGCCGCCGGCCAUGGCGACUGACGGUGCUAUGGUGAGCUAGCAGCUACAGCUAACAGCCAAUGCAAGGGUUCUCCGGCGAGGUCUGCUCCUUCUCCACCAGUAGAGAAAGAGAAGGGGCCCUCCUUCUCUCGCUGCUUCGACCAUGCCAGCGCCGACGCCAUGGAAGGCCCCCCUCCCCCUCUCCUCUCUCUCUCUUUCUCUGUUCGGCUCCCUCGCUGUUCUAGGACGCCAUGGACUCAUUUUUUUUGUUCUUUCUCCCCUUUCUAUUUGAACAUGAGCAGCGUCAACCAUCUAUAUAUGUGUCUCACAUGUUGUAUCUUCUUGUUGCUGCGAUUUAAACAUGAGCAUGAGUCAGAUCCUUGUAAUUAGGUGUAUCCUUGCACAGUUAUAUGUUAGUCAGAUUAGGUGCCUGCAAGUCUGGUGCCAUGUGUCAAA